GAAAAAUCUGGGCUGCUCAUUUUAUUUGAUAAGCUGGAUAGUGAACAUUUCAAAAACUCAAUCUAAGACUCGUGACUUGGCUGCUAGGGAGCAGGGACAAGGGAAAGUACCCAGUUUUCCAGUACUAAAGGACUAAACCCUAAGGGCUGUCCCUGGGCAUUGUGGAACUGUCCCAUGUUGUUCAGUAGGAGUCUGUCCCCUGAACCAAGAGCCAUUGUGUGCCAGGUGCUGCAUAAGGGGAAGACAUCAGCUUGAAAGGGGCCUGGGCCAUAAAGCAUCUCCUCAUGACAGUUACACAUUUCUUUCUCACUGGGAAUAGCAAGCAGAUGUACCCAGAUUCUGCACCCCACAGUAAUUUUGGAGAGAAGUUGGGCAGA
This 377-nucleotide long non-coding RNA is filed under the name Crocodylus porosus (Australian saltwater crocodile). RNAcentral describes it as "lncRNA (ENSCPRG00005009532.1)". Lineage: Eukaryota; Metazoa; Chordata; Crocodylia; Crocodylidae. The record is from RNAcentral.